UGAGGAAUAUUGGUCAAUGGGCGCGAGCCUGAACCAGCCAAGUAGCGUGAAGGAUGAAGGUCCUAUGGAUUGUAAACUUCUUUUAUAGCAGAAUAAAGUGACCCACGUGUGGGUUUUUGUAUGUAUGCUAUGAAUAAGGAUCGGCUAACUCCGUGCCAGCAGCCGCGGUAAUACGGAGGAUCCGAGCGUUAUCCGGAUUUAUUGGGUUUAAAGGGUGCGUAGGUGGUUUGAUAAGUCAGCGGUGAAAGUUUGCAGCUUAACUGUAAAAAUGCCGUUGAAACUGUCGGCCUUGAGUGUAAAUGAGGUAGGCGGAAUGCGUGGUGUAGCGGUGAAAUGCAUAGAUAUCACGCAGAACUCCGAUUGCGAAGGCAGCUUACUAAGCUACAACUGACACUGAAGCACGAAAGCGUGGGGAUCAAACA
Molecule: ribosomal RNA, 422 nt
Filed under: uncultured bacterium
Lineage: Bacteria
Description: bacterial SSU rRNA
Rfam family: Bacterial small subunit ribosomal RNA
Source: RNAcentral